Molecule: ribosomal RNA, 383 nt
Filed under: uncultured bacterium
Lineage: Bacteria
Description: bacterial SSU rRNA
Rfam family: Bacterial small subunit ribosomal RNA
Source: RNAcentral
AUUGAACGCUGGCGGCAUGCUUUACACAUGCAAGUCGAACGGUAGGGUAGCAAUACCUGAGAGUGGCGAACGGGUGAGUAAUGCAUCGGAACAUGCCUAUUAGUGGGGGAUAGCCCGGCGAAAGCCGGAUUAAUACCGCAUACGAUCUAAGGAUGAAAGCAGGGGACCGCAAGGCCUUGCGCUAAUGGAGUGGCUGAUGUCAGAUUAGCUAGUUGGUGGGGUAAAGGCUCACCAAGGCGACGAUCUGUAGCUGGUUUGAGAGAACGACCAGCCACACUGGGACUGAGACACGGCCCAGACUCCUACGGGAGGCAGCAGUGGGGAAUUUUGGACAAUGGGCGCAAGCCUGAUCCAGCAAUGCCGCGUGCAGGAUGAAGGCCUUC